GGUUAUGGGUACUACAGUGGAUGUGAGUGUGUAGACCUUGUACAAUAGAGCUUAUAGGCUAAUGAGAAGACAGGAAGAAACAACAGGAACACAUAUAGCUGGAAUGCAGAUGGGAUCUGUGCUACUUACGCUAGCCAUGGGAUGAUUAGAACAAGAUAAGAGACAUGAGGAAGACUUCUUCAAGGAGGUGCUCAAGCCAUGUUUUGGAAAAGAGAACUCAAGGUCUGGCAGGGAGAAAGGAGCAAGACUGCCUGGCAGCUCUUUAGAAAGUUGUGUGACGUAUGAACCAGUUCUUCCCUAUAUGAGAGUGUACCGUACAUCGCAGGCUGUCCAGCAUCGACCCCACUGAUGGAUGCUAGUAGUCCUCCCCGCCAGCACUCAACAUUGUGACAGUCAAAAACAUCCUCUCUACAUUUUCAAUGCCCCUGUUGGGGUAGCAGGACUCCCACUGAGAGACCCCAGUAGAGAUGGGCAAGUAGAGCUGCAGCUGUCUGGCGCCACUGUAAUGCUGUCUCCUCCUCUGAGUGAGUUCAUCCUGGAAACAUUUUCUCCCAUAAGACAUGCACAGGUCUUACGUUUACAUGUUUCACUGAAAGAAAUUUGAUUCCACUGCUGGGAUGACAAGGAAGACUGAAGAAACCUAAUCCUAGGUGCUGCCACUGGGACAAACAAGAAGCACCAGACACAGUGCUGUUUUAGGGUGGGGCAGAAUUAUGCUGAGGGAAAAGUUAUUAUCACUCUUUAAGGCCAAGGAAACCACAAUUUUUAAAGAAGCUUCUAGAAAUUCUACCCAGUAGAAAAUAAAGAUAAACUUCUGUAAGGAAUUUCAUUCUUUUCAGAAUUCGCAAUCUGAAAUGUAGAAGCCCAUUCCUUCAUGGUUCUCAUAGAUAUUUAGUGUGACUGAGGGGUCAGUGGACUCAUAGCACUCAGGCCAGGCUUCUCCUGAGUCCCUUUCUUUGGCACAGAGGGAGUGAUUCACAGAUCCUCUACCCCCAAAGGCAUUGUUUCCUCAUCUCAACAAGAAUCCAGCACCCGUCAUUUUAUCAGCACACGUCACUAGCUUCUCAAGUGAGACUACUCUGAAGUGAUCUGUGUUUGAAGAAUGCCUUUCCCUUUCCCUUACGUAACUAAGAGGAUGAAAAAGGACACUCACUCCCUAUAUGAAAGCUGUGUAUUGUAAGCAGUCAUCUUGCCUGGCUGAGAACUCUAGGAUCUUUUUCUCUGCUCUCCUUUAGGCUGACACUCAUAGCCAGACCUUCUGUUUAUUAGCCCCCUGAAUCUAUUUGAAAAUAUUUUUGCUUUCAUUAUAAUAUAAGUCACAUUCUUCUUGCAUCUGCCGCUGCAUUUUCCAAAAGGGUUAUGUCAAGGGAAAUUCAACACUCACUUUUCUCAUUAUUUGCUUACCAGCUUGCUCACUCAUCAAAAUACCAGAGUUAUUUGAUACUUCAGAAGAUUAUUUCCCCCUUUAGAUGAUGUGUCAAGGGAAGGGGAGCUGGCCCCAGUAUCAGGUGACAGAAUUUUCUUCGCAUUUCUACUGUUGACUCAAUAAAUGCCCUUGGGCAAGUCAU
This 1568-nucleotide long non-coding RNA is filed under the name Homo sapiens (human). Its description in RNAcentral is "HSALNT0336047". The record is from RNAcentral. Lineage: Eukaryota; Metazoa; Chordata; Mammalia; Primates; Hominidae.